UACGUAAGGGGCUAGCGUUGUUCGGAAUCAUUGGGCGUAAAGGGCGUGUAGGCGGAUUUGUAAGUUGGAUGUGAAAUCUUUCGGCUUAACCGAGAAACUGCGUUCAAAACUGCAAGUCUAGAGUUUGGAAGAGGAGAACGGAAUUCCUAGUGUAGGGGUGAAAUCUAUAGAUAUUAGGAAGAACACCGAUGGCGAAGGCGGUUCUCUGGUCCAAAACUGACGCUGAGCCGCGAAAGCUAGGGGAG
This 245-nucleotide ribosomal RNA is filed under the name uncultured bacterium. RNAcentral's name for it is "partial 16S ribosomal RNA". It matches the Rfam family "Bacterial small subunit ribosomal RNA", at positions 524 to 768 of the family's 1533-position model. The record is from RNAcentral.